UUUUCUCGGUGCUCGCAGUGGUUAGUUGGGAAGUGUGGGGAGAAACGUGAAGCCGGGCGGUACAGUAGUGCAAUGUUGUGAUAUCACUUAUCUAUAAUAUUAUUAUCUUAUCCAAGGGAAUCAAAGUCUGAGUGUAUGUCGGUGCUUCUAGGUUACGAGCUCAUUCACUGUUACAAAAAGGGAACAUACCCUCACUGGAGGAAUGUAAAGUGGCCAUUCCACCAAAAACCACGUUAGUCUUCACUUCAGUCUGCACGUGGAGACGUGAACUUGAUAUAUUGAAAGAAGCAGAACAAAGUCCAUCCCAAGAUCGACCAAAUUAUCGAGAGGAAGAAUCAAGUACCAGUAGUGAUGAAGAAACAUUUUUCACCAAUAUUUUGAAGAAAAUAGUGAAGCAUGGAAAGCACAAAAUGUAUUUGUCUGACAGCAAGGAAUCAAAUCUUUCAAAUGAAAUGGAAUCCGAUAAUGACGAUGACAAUGAUGAUUCGGCAAAACCCCCAAAGCUAUCCCCCCUAUUGAAGACCCAUUGUACCCCCACCCAGUAUUGCCCCCAACAUUUCCCAUCCCCCCUUCCGUCCUCAAGGCUGCCAAGUCUAAGAAAAACCCGAAAUCAACAACUUCGAAAACCAAAAAACCCUCAAAAUCAUUGACUUCUAAAACUCAGAAACCAUUGUCAUCAAAGCCAUCUAAACUGCAAAGGAAAUCUUCUAAUUCGUUGUCAUCAACCUCUUCAAAGACCGAUACUAGUAAUGGCCAGCAUUGGUUGGACAAUCAGGAGAUAAAAGUUAUCGAAAAAGCCCUCAAACUCCUCAAAUCGUCAAACGAAAUGUCCAACGAUCCCCACUACGCAUAUGGACUGCACAUUGCCAAUCAGCUGAAAAAGUAUGACUCCAACACACUGAUUCAUGUGAAGAAAGCCUUUGCCGACAUCUUGCACCGAGCAGAUAUGCAACAAUCCGCAAAAAACAAGCAGUCAAAGAGUAAUAACCAUGCUGCAACCUCGUCACUUGAAGGAGAAAGCUAUGACAAUAAAACUUUUCCCAUUACACCCGUUUUUCUGCCCACUAACCCCUAACAAAACCAAGGUGAUAAUCUGUGAUAAUAACUUGAUGAUACCCUAACAAGUUACCUUUCUUACGUUUCUCACUAAAUGAGAUAGAUUCUGUUGAGAAAUUAAAGGGUUCAACAAGUGUAAGUUCAUUAUUUUAUAGUUGCUCAAUUUUUGAUGAUUUAAUUUUCGUUAAUUUAGGUAAAGGUUAAUGAUAUUUCCUAUUCGAAGUUGAGACUGAUGUUUAAGUUCGUGUAGAAAUGAGUCACUCUGUAUCCAAUUGUAAAUAUUAUUUUUAUUUGUUUAACAUCAGUUAUUAGUAUCGGCCUGAUUCAUUAGCCUAUUUUUUGUUCAAUCAAUUUGUUUAAAAAGUUACACAGCUCACAUUGUUCCUACUUAGUUCUUGUAAAUUUGAGUUGGAGGCAUCAAUUAACUUUUUAUUUUUUUCAACUUCUAUAUUCUCUAUUAUUCCACGAUGGUUGGUGUUAGUGCCAACACACCGUACACAUAAAUAAUCACGCUAUUCGAUAGAGCUAGCUAGAGGAACAUAUUGACUUGAAAAUAUUACUGUAUUACAAUAUCAUAUCAAACUGCUGCAAAUGAUGAUAUUGUACAGUGUACUGUAUUGAUAUAAACUAAUCGAAUAAUUCAUUCAAAUCAAUAACCAAUGUAAGUUAUACUGAAUUGAAUGAUAGUAUCAAAUAAUUUUUUUAUUAUAUUAUUACAAACACACUGUUGAUUAAAUUUCGUUUAUUGAUUCAAGAUUGUUUUGAUUGAAGCAAGUAAAUUUUUCUAACUACAGUACAAAAUUGCAUUAGUCAUUUUUAGAUAUUUUAAACCUUCAAUAAAUUUGAGAAGGCUUCUCUGACUAUUUUUUGCUGAUAUUGAUUAUUUAUGUCAGUCUUCAGGAAUAACAGUAUUUAUGUAUGUUAAUAUUUAUCUCUAUUUAUAUGAGUGUGUUUUUAUCGAUUUAGAAUAUAACGCACAUUGUUUAGAAGAUUAAUCGAUUAUAGAAAAAGUUGUUCCAGAGAUAAACAACAAAUAUUACUGCUUAUAUCAUAAUUGCAAUAAAUUAAAUUCAAUUAAAUUUAUUAAAGUACAAUUAAAUUCGAUUUGUAAAAUCAAAUAAUUUAUGUUACUGAUUACGUAGAAGUGUAAUGAGCUAAUUUAGACUAUUAUCAUGAUAUAUUUCAAGUUAUUCAUUAUGAUGGAAAUCUUCUUUAGUUUCUGUUUAGUUUAACUCGUGAAGUGGUAAAAAUGUAUAUUAUGGCAGUUUCUAAAGAUUAAUGAAUUAUUGGAAAAUUAAAAAUGUCUGUACCGUAUUACUUUGAUAAUAAGUUGAAUUUACAUUUGCUUUAAUUAAUUACAAUAUUAUAAAAUUAAA
Molecule: unclassified non-coding RNA, 2432 nt
Filed under: Nilaparvata lugens (brown planthopper)
Lineage: Eukaryota; Metazoa; Arthropoda; Insecta; Hemiptera; Delphacidae
Description: uncharacterized LOC111051686, transcript variant X5
Source: RNAcentral